AGUGAACGCUGGCGGUAGGCCUAACACAUGCAAGUCGAACGGCAGCACAGUAAGAGCUUGCUCUUACGGGUGGCGAGUGGCGGACGGGUGAGGAAUACAUCGGAAUCUACUUUUUCGUGGGGGAUAACGUAGGGAAACUUACGCUAAUACCGCAUACGACCUACGGGUGAAAGCAGGGGAUCUUCGGACCUUGCGCGAUUGAAUGAGCCGAUGUCGGAUUAGCUAGUUGGCGGGGUAAAGGCCCACCAAGGCGACGAUCCGUAGCUGGUCUGAGAGGAUGAUCAGCCACACUGGAACUGAGACACGUCCAGACUCCUACGGGAGGCAGCAGUGGGGAAUAUUGGACAAUGGGCGCAAGCCUGAUCCAGCCAUACCGCGUGGGUGAAGAAGGCCUUCGGGUUGUAAAGCCCUUUUGUUGGGAAAGAAAAGCAGCAGGUUAAUACCCCGCUGUUCUGACGGUACCCAAAGAAUAAGCACCGGCUAACUUCGUG
Molecule: ribosomal RNA, 491 nt
Filed under: uncultured bacterium
Lineage: Bacteria
Description: partial 16S ribosomal RNA
Rfam family: Bacterial small subunit ribosomal RNA
Source: RNAcentral